RNAcentral lists this ribosomal RNA (115 nucleotides) under Cordylochernes scorpioides. The record is from RNAcentral. Lineage: Eukaryota; Metazoa; Arthropoda; Arachnida; Pseudoscorpiones; Chernetidae.
ACUGACAUACCACGUUGUAAACACCGGUUCACUUCCGAUCACCGAAGUUAAGCAACGUCGGGCCCGAUCAGUACUUGGGAGGGUGACCACCUUGGAAAACCGGGUGCUAUAGGCU